GCGAAAGUAGCUCAGUUGGUAGAGCUCCAGCCUUCCAAGCUGGUUGUCGCGAGUUCGAGCCUGUCUUUCGCUCUA
RNAcentral lists this transfer RNA (75 nucleotides) under Flavobacterium glaciei. RNAcentral's name for it is "tRNA-Gly". It matches the Rfam family "tRNA". Rfam says of the family: Transfer RNA (tRNA) molecules are approximately 80 nucleotides in length. Their secondary structure includes four short double-helical elements and three loops (D, anti-codon, and T loops). The record is from RNAcentral. Lineage: Bacteria; Pseudomonadati; Bacteroidota; Flavobacteriia; Flavobacteriales; Flavobacteriaceae.